CUCAUAUGACGAAGCGGUCGCUGGUUGGAAAAGGGUUGAGGUCCGCUCAGGACGCUUGGACGUAAAAGGGGCGGGAGAUAGGGUUGUCCCCGCCUCUCGCGUUACCUUAUUCGGCUCUGGGUGUGCUUUUCAGAACCUGCGCCUUGGCUAUUGGUUAGACACCAUGUCUGUCAUCAACGUUACGCUCGCUGAUUGGACAACGUUCACUCCCCGCCCCCUGACGGACACGAUUAGCCAAUGGGUAGAAAGUAGGUGGGGACAAUGUCUAAGGUCAUUCUGCUUGUAGGAAGGAAGGGAGGCAUUGGGCACGUGUCCUAGGUUUGCCCUUGCUGGAAAUGUGGAGGGCAGACCACUACAUGGAUCUGCAAGCAUAUCCAACCACCAUCUUGAGGGGGAGAGAGGCCAGGCCUGGAAGAAAAAGAGCCCUCCUCCAACCACCAUCUUGAGGGGGAGAGAGGCCUGGCCUGGAA
Molecule: long non-coding RNA, 470 nt
Organism: Sceloporus undulatus (fence lizard)
Lineage: Eukaryota; Metazoa; Chordata; Lepidosauria; Squamata; Phrynosomatidae
Exons: 2
Source: RefSeq, a predicted model, not a curated record